GAACUGAAGAGUUUGAUCAUGGCUCAGAUUGAACGCUGGCGGCAGGCCUAACACAUGCAAGUCGAGCGGAUGAAGGGAGCUUGCUCCUGGAUUCAGCGGCGGACGGGUGAGUAAUGCCUAGGAAUCUGCCUGGUAGUGGGGGAUAACGUCCGGAAACGGGCGCUAAUACCGCAUACGUCCUGAGGGAGAAAGUGGGGGAUCUUCGGACCUCACGCUAUCAGAUGAGCCUAGGUCGGAUUAGCUAGUUGGUGGGGUAAAGGCCUACCAAGGCGACGAUCCGUAACUGGUCUGAGAGGAUGAUCAGUCACACUGGAACUGAGACACGGUCCAGACUCCUACGGGAGGCAGCAGUGGGGAAUAUUGGACAAUGGGCGAAAGCCUGAUCCAGCCAUGCCGCGUGUGUGAAGAAGGUCUUCGGAU
RNAcentral lists this ribosomal RNA (420 nucleotides) under Pseudomonas aeruginosa. RNAcentral describes it as "bacterial SSU rRNA". It matches the Rfam family "Bacterial small subunit ribosomal RNA", at positions 1 to 423 of the family's 1533-position model. Lineage: Bacteria; Pseudomonadati; Pseudomonadota; Gammaproteobacteria; Pseudomonadales; Pseudomonadaceae. The record is from RNAcentral.